RNAcentral lists this ribosomal RNA (847 nucleotides) under uncultured bacterium. Its description in RNAcentral is "bacterial SSU rRNA". It matches the Rfam family "Bacterial small subunit ribosomal RNA", at positions 10 to 888 of the family's 1533-position model. The record is from RNAcentral.
AGUUUGAUCCUGGCUCGAAUGAACGCUGGCGGCAGGCCUAACACAUGCAAGUCGAACGGAGUUAUAUUGUAGCUUGCUAUGGUAUAACUUAGUGGCAGACGGGUGAGUAAUGUAUAGGAAUCUACCUAGUAGUACGGAAUAAUUGUUGGAAACGGCAACUAAUACCGUAUACGCCCUACGGGGGAAAAAUUUAUUGCUAUUAGAUGAGCCUAUAUUAGAUUAGCUAGUUGGUGGAGUAAUAGCCUACCAAGGCAAUGAUCUAUAGCUGAUCUGAGAGGAUGAUCAGCCACACUGGAACUGAGAUACGGUCCAGACUCCUACGGGAGGCAGCAGUGGGGAAUAUUGGACAAUGGGCGAAAGCCUGAUCCAGCCAUGCCGCAUGAGUGAAGAAGGCCUUUGGGUUGUAAAGCUCUUUUAGUGAGGAAGAUAAUGACGGUACUCACAGAAGAAGUCCUGGCUAACUCCGUGCCAGCAGCCGCGGUAAUACGGAGAGGGCUAGCGUUAUUCGGAAUUAUUGGGCGUAAAGGGCGCGUAGGCGGAUUAGUAAGUUAAAAGUGAAAUCCCAAGGCUCAACCUUGGAAUUGCUUCUAAAACUGCUAAUCUAGAGAUUGAAAGAGGAUAGAGGAAUUCCUAGUGUAGAGGUGAAAUUCGUAAAUAUUAGGAGGAACACCAGUGGCGAAGGCGUCUAUCUGGUUCAAAUCUGACGCUGAGGCGCGAAGGCGUGGGGAGCAAACAGGAUUAGAUACCCUGGUAGUACACGCUGUAAACGAUGAAUGUUAAAUAUGGGAAGUUUUACUUUCUGUAUUACAGCUAACGCGUUAAACAUUCCGCCUGGGGACUACGGUCG